Molecule: ribosomal RNA, 620 nt
Filed under: uncultured bacterium
Lineage: Bacteria
Description: bacterial SSU rRNA
Rfam family: Bacterial small subunit ribosomal RNA (bases 1-521)
Source: RNAcentral
CCUACGGGAGGCAGCAGUGGGGAAUAUUGGGCAAUGGAGGAAACUCUGACCCAGCGACGCCGCGUGCGGGAUGAAGGCCUUCGGGUUGUAAACCGCUUUCAGCAGGGAAGAAGCGAAAGUGACGGUACCUGCAGAAGAAGCACCGGCUAACUAUGUGCCAGCAGCCGCGGUAAUACAUAGGGUGCAAGCGUUGUCCGGAAUUAUUGGGCGUAAAGAGCUCGUAGGUGGUUCGUCACGUCGGAUGUGAAAAUCUGGGGCUUAACCCCAGACCUGCAUUCGAUACGGGCGAGCUUGAGUAUGGUAGGGGAGUCUGGAAUUCCUGGUGUAGCGGUGGAAUGCGCAGAUAUCAGGAGGAACACCAAUGGCGAAGGCAGGACUCUGGGCCAUUACUGACACUGAGGAGCGAAAGCGUGGGGAGCGAACAGGAUUAGAUACCCUGGUAGUCCACGCCGUAAACGGUGGGCACUAGUUGUGGGGACCUUCCACGGUCUCUGCGACGCNGCUACGACAUAGUGCCCGCCGUCGGGAGGUACGAGUCGCGAAGUAAGUUAAACUUAACUUAAAUUAGUAAGUUAGUUACGGCGUUGAGACGNGCCGACGGACGACGACGAGGGAGGAGG